UACGGGAGGCAGCAGUGGGGAAUAUUGCACAAUGGGCGCAAGCCUGAUGCAGCCAUGCCGCGUGUAUGAAGAAGGCCUUCGGGUUGUAAAGUACUUUCAGUCGUGAGGAAGGUGUUAAGGUUAAUAACCUUAGCAAUUGACGUUAGCGACAGAAGAAGCACCGGCUAACUCCGUGCCAGCAGCCGCGGUAAUACGGAGGGUGCGAGCGUUAAUCGGAAUUACUGGGCGUAAAGGGCACGCAGGCGGUUAAUUAAGUUGGAUGUGAAAUCCCCGGGCUUAACCUGGGAAUGGCAUUCAAGACUGGUUAGCUAGAGUCUUGUAGAGGGGGUAGAAUUCCAUGUGUAGCGGUGAAAUGCGUAGAGAUGUGGAGGAAUACCGGUGGCGAAAGGCGGCCCCUGGACAAAGGACUGACGCUCAUGUGCGAAAAGCUGGGGAGCAAACAGGGAUUAGAUACC
Molecule: ribosomal RNA, 455 nt
Filed under: uncultured bacterium
Lineage: Bacteria
Description: bacterial SSU rRNA
Rfam family: Bacterial small subunit ribosomal RNA
Source: RNAcentral